UUAACCGUAAGCCUGUUUAUGGUUUAUAUCUUUCUAGUAAAGAAGAUUUAACUAAAACUGUAAAAUUUAUUGAUCAAAUUGGUGGUUUAAAGGGAAAUAAAUUAUCUCAAUAUCAGACAUGGAAAAAUAAAUUUAAUCUUUAAUUAGAUUAUAAUUAAAUUUUAAUUAAUGUUGUCAUAUAUAUUAAGAAAUAUUUUAAGAAAUAAAAAAAACUAAGUACAUUAGAAGAAGUGUUAAUAAGACAAUUAAUAAAGAAGAGUGCUCGAGCCGUAUGCGCUGAAAGGUGCUUGUACGGUUCUUAGAGGGGGAAAGGCGGUGACGCCCUACCUAUCUCAAAUAGAGACCCUUGUAUCCCUCACUGUCAACGAUGAAUGGUAGUUACUAGGGAGAAAUGACCUAGAGACGAUGUUAACACGAAAACCAUUCCGCCUUGUGAGUACGACUGCAAAGUUGAAAACAAAAAAAUUAGUCGGUUUCGGAGCAAACGAAGUGAAGCAUGUUAUUUAAUGCGAUAAUCCGCGUAAAACCUUACCAGUUCUUGUAUAAAAACUUUAGUUAAUAGCUAAAGGAGUUAUUUUGUUAUUUAAGUUAUUAGGUAACAGGUACUUAAUACAGGUGUUGCAUGGCUGUCUUCAGUCCGUAUCGUGAGGAGUGAGGUUAAAUCCGUUAACGGACGCAAUCCCUAUUGUUAAUUUGUACUUAACAAUUUAUGAUUCUGAUAAAGUUUCAUUUGGGGCUAAGACAAGCCCUUAUGGCCCUUAUGGACUGGGCUAUAGACGUGCUAUAAAGAUUUUCACAAAGUGACGCAAGACUUCUCUUAUUUCCCUAAACAGGAAAAAUAAAUUUUCUUUAAUUAAAAAUUAUAGAGCAUAAGGAAGAGCUAAUCAUUAAAAAAAAUCAAAAUAUUAUAUUAAUGAUACAGAUUGUCGCCUGAAACUUGGUGGCAUGAAGGAGGAAUUUCGAGUAAUCGUUGAUCAUUAGGCGCAACGGUGAAACUUAAAUCCGAGAUGAACUAACCGUCUGUCGCUGGGAAGGAGCUUAUUUUGGUGGAAAAUAAGUCAAGGUAUUAAUUUUUGAGUUCUUAACUUGACCUUAAUGAAGUAAUUAUAACAAAAUUUAAGGCUUAUAUGCUUU
Molecule: ribosomal RNA, 1134 nt
Filed under: Phellinotus piptadeniae
Lineage: Eukaryota; Fungi; Basidiomycota; Agaricomycetes; Hymenochaetales; Hymenochaetaceae
Source: RNAcentral